This 465-nucleotide ribosomal RNA is filed under the name Vreelandella stevensii. Its description in RNAcentral is "partial 16S ribosomal RNA". It matches the Rfam family "Bacterial small subunit ribosomal RNA", at positions 338 to 795 of the family's 1533-position model. Lineage: Bacteria; Pseudomonadati; Pseudomonadota; Gammaproteobacteria; Oceanospirillales; Halomonadaceae. The record is from RNAcentral.
CCUACGGGUGGCAGCAGUGGGGAAUAUUGGACAAUGGGCGAAAGCCUGAUCCAGCCAUGCCGCGUGUGUGAAGAAGGCCUUCGGGUUGUAAAGCACUUUCAGUGGGGAAGAAAGCCUUGGGGCUAAUACCCUCGAGGAAGGACAUCACCCACAGAAGAAGCACCGGCUAACUCCGUGCCAGCAGCCGCGGUAAUACGGAGGGUGCGAGCGUUAAUCGGAAUUACUGGGCGUAAAGCGCGCGUAGGCGGUCUGAUAAGCCGGUUGUGAAAGCCCCGGGCUCAACCUGGGAACGGCAUCCGGAACUGUCAGGCUAGAGUGCAGGAGAGGAAGGUAGAAUUCUCGGUGUAGCGGUGAAAUGCGUAGAGAUCGGGAGGAAUACCAGUGGCGAAGGCGGCCUUCUGGACUGACACUGACGCUGAGGUGCGAAAGCGUGGGUAGCAAACAGGAUUAGAUACCCUGGUAGUC